CGACUGUUUAUCAAAAACACAGGGCUCUGCGAAGCCGUAAGGCGACGUAUAGGGUCUGACGCCUGCCCGGUGCCGGAAGGUUAAAAGGAGAUGUGCAAGCAUUGAAUUGAAGCCCCGGUAAACGGCGGCCGUAACAAUAACGGUCCUAAGGUAGCGAAAUUCCUUGUCGGGUAAGUUCCGACCUGCACGAAUGGCGUAACGACUUCCCCGCUGUCUCAAAUGUGGACUCAGCGAAAUUGAAUUGUCUGUGAAGAUGCAGACUUCCCGCGGUUAGACGGAAAGACCCCAUGCACCUUUACUACAACUUCGCACUGGCAUCAGGAUUGCGAUGUGCAGGAUAGGCGGUAGGCUUUGAAGCGGGGACGCCAGUCCUCGUGGAGCCAUCCUUGAGAUACCGCCCUUCGCACUCUUGAUGUCUAACCGCGGCCCGUUAUCCGGGUCCGGGACCCUGCGUGGUGGGUAGUUUGACUGGGGCGG
RNAcentral lists this ribosomal RNA (477 nucleotides) under Grammatophora oceanica. RNAcentral describes it as "partial Bacterial large subunit ribosomal RNA". It matches the Rfam family "Bacterial large subunit ribosomal RNA", at positions 1797 to 2282 of the family's 2925-position model. The record is from RNAcentral. Lineage: Eukaryota; Bacillariophyta; Fragilariophyceae; Rhabdonematales; Grammatophoraceae.